CUCGUCUGUGUUUAGCAGGUUCAUCCACAGACCCAGGUAUGGGGAGCAUUGUAAAGGAACACGACAUGAGCGCAGCCAUAUUGACCUGCGAUUCACCCGAGCAGUGUGGAUGUGCCGUCGCUAUAGCAAUGGGCUAGUUCAGCUGGUGGUCUGAUCUAUUGCCUAGCAGAUGUAACCCAUAAUGGUUGUUAUUGUUUCCCUCUGGAAUGUGUGGGCGGUACUCUCGCUCCCGUUCAGCCCUCGCUCGCUCUCGCUCCCGUGCAGCCCUCGCUCUCAUGCAGCUGGAGAGUAUAAAAGGGAGAGGUUCGGUAAUAAAGCAAGCUAGGAACUUGAGAAGAAAGGUGCCUCCCGUCUCUCUGUCCUCGUCCUUUCAGGUUUAGGACCUGCUGGCAGGAUCCUGACGUCGCGGCUCACGACACCCAGGCACUCUCCUGGGCCAGCUGCAGGCUGGAGACAUCGGCAGAGGCUGGGCACGUGGAGGACCAGCCUGGUGAUGCUGCUGCCUAUUCCAGUGGAGGGGAGAUGCACUUCUGCAGCGACCCUGUGCUGUGCCUAUAGACAGGAUGCACCCAUGAACUUCCUGAGAAGCUUCUCAACACUUCACACAUGGCUGGAGUUGCGCCUGGCCUGUAGUGUCUGUUUAUCUACAUGGCAUCUACAUACAUGAUGAGAACAUAGCCCCUCAAGGCGGGACCAUCUGCUUCAACCAGCCCAGCUCCUGCACGAUGCUGAUAUUUAAUAACUGACCUUCCCGGGACCAGUGGUGCUCCUUGUGGUCUUCGUAGUCCUCAGAAUCUGCCCUGCUGAAUCACUAUAGGGAAAUAUAUUUGAAUAAUCUGCUCAUUCUGGGAGUGCAAAUUAAAAACUGUCACAGG
Molecule: long non-coding RNA, 875 nt
Filed under: Fukomys damarensis (Damara mole-rat)
Lineage: Eukaryota; Metazoa; Chordata; Mammalia; Rodentia; Bathyergidae
Description: lncRNA (ENSFDAG00000033397.1)
Source: RNAcentral